GAGUUUGAUCCUGGCUCAGGAUGAACGCUGGCGGCGUGCUUAACACAUGCAAGUCGAACGGGAAACCUUUUAUUGAAGCUUCGGCAGAUUUAGCUGGUUUCUAGUGGCGGACGGGUGAGUAACGCGUGGGUAACCUGCCUUAUACAGGGGGAUAACAGUCAGAAAUGACUGCUAAUACCGCAUAAGCGCACAGAGCUGCAUGGCUCAGUGUGAAAAACUCCGGUGGUAUAAGAUGGACCCGCGUUGGAUUAGCUUGUUGAUGGGGUAACGGCCCACCAAGGCGACGAUCCAUAGCCGGCCUGAGAGGGUGAACGGCCACAUUGGGACUGAGACACGGCCCAGACUCCUACGGGAGGCAGCAGUGGGGAAUAUUGCACAAUGGGGGAAACCCUGAUGCAGCGACGCCGCGUGAAGGAAGAAGUAUCUCGGUAUGUAAACUUCUAUCAGCAGGGAAGAUAAUGACGGUACUUGAGGAGGAAGCCCCGGCUAACUACGUGCCAGCCGCCGCGGUAAUUC
RNAcentral lists this ribosomal RNA (516 nucleotides) under uncultured bacterium. Its description in RNAcentral is "bacterial SSU rRNA". It matches the Rfam family "Bacterial small subunit ribosomal RNA", at positions 9 to 526 of the family's 1533-position model. The record is from RNAcentral.